GAUGAACGCUGGCGGCGUGCUUAAUACAUGCAAGUCGAGCGGACGGGCGCGAAGCUUGCUUCUCUGAUGUUAGGGGCGGCCGAGUGGGUAACACGAGGAUAGUCUCCCUCUAAGACUGGGAUAACUUCGGGAAACCGGUGCUAAUACCGGAUAAUAUUUUGAACCGCAUGGUUCAAAAGUGAGAGACGGUCUUGCUGUCGCUUAUAGAUGGAUCCGCGCUGCAUUAGCUAGUUGGUAGGGUAACGGCUUACCAAGGCAACGAUGCAUAGCCGGCCUGAGAGGGGGAUCGACCACACUGGUACUGCUGCACCGCCCCGACGCCUACGAGAGGCAGCAGUAGGGAAGCUUCCGCAACGGGCGGAGGCCUGACGGUGCAACGCCGCGUGGGUGAUGAAGGUCUUCGUAGCGUAAAACUCUGCUAUUAGGGGUGAACAUGUGUGUAAUUAACUGUGCACAGCUUGACGGUACCUAAUCAGAAAGCCCCGGCUAACUACGUG
RNAcentral lists this ribosomal RNA (497 nucleotides) under uncultured bacterium. Its description in RNAcentral is "partial 16S ribosomal RNA". It matches the Rfam family "Bacterial small subunit ribosomal RNA", at positions 28 to 507 of the family's 1533-position model. The record is from RNAcentral.